GAUGAAGAACGUAGCGAAAUGCGAUAAGUAAUGUGAAUUGCAGAAUUCAGUGAAUCAUCGAAUCUUUGAACGCACCUUGCACCCUUUGGCAUUCCGAAGGGUAUGCUCGUUUGAGUGUCAUUGUACCCUCACACUUCUGAUCCUUUGGAUUGGGAGCGGUGGACUUGGGUGUUGCUGCUUUACUGUGGCUCACCUCAAAUGCAUUCGUGCAACUCUUGGUUGGACAUAGUACGGCGUGAUAAGUAUCUUCGCCGGCACCUCGCAAGAGGGUGGCUGAUCAGGAGCUCUGUGCUUUCCAACUGUCUUCAGACAACAACUGACAACUUGACCUCAAAUCGAGUAGGACCACCCGCUGAACUUAAGCAUAUCAAUAAGCGGAGGA
Molecule: unclassified non-coding RNA, 382 nt
Filed under: soil metagenome
Description: partial contains 5.8S ribosomal RNA, internal transcribed spacer 2, and large subunit ribosomal RNA
Rfam family: 5.8S ribosomal RNA (bases 1-120)
Source: RNAcentral